This is a long non-coding RNA of Poecilia reticulata (guppy), 1148 nucleotides long. RefSeq lists it as uncharacterized. The record is from RefSeq and is a predicted model, not a curated record. NCBI's taxonomy places the organism in Eukaryota, Metazoa, Chordata, Actinopteri, Cyprinodontiformes, Poeciliidae.
GUUCUUCACUCAGUUCAUUCACAAACCAUUUGUUUGUCAGCAUGCAACAAAAACUUCACUUUCAUGUCAGAGUGUCAUAAAUCCUCUUUCUUUUGCUUUUUUCCCUCCCCUGACAAAAACAGAGAAAAAYCUCAGGUUUUUGGAUAGUCUGCUAGCAGUAUGUUUUUUACUUUUUGUGCCAUAAAGGUGGUUUUAUAUUCACAACAAAGGCGAGUGUCGCAGUCUCCAGAAGCCCUGAAGGAUCUGUGGCGUUUUAUUGUUUGUGUUUUUACACGACAUACCAGCGGGGUUCGCCGAGACUGGAAAGGCGGUAACCUCAGGGAGUCGGAAGUGGCAGCGACAAACACUCCAAACAGAAGAGAAAAGGCCUCAGCGGGGGGCAACAGAGACGCUUUUUUCAGCCAGCGUCUCAUAUCUAACAAACUCAGCUUUAAAGUCGCUUUAGAGGAUUUUCUGAGAUUCAUCGCAGGAGCUGAGUCAGCAUUUAACUCCUGAUGGUUCCAGUCGCCCAUGCAAGUCAAAGCAGAUCGACGGCUUUAAAGAAACAGUUGGAGCAGAACUUUCCCCACUGAUGUGCUUCUGCCCCAGUUUCCAAUGCAGAGAAAUAUUUCAGUGACUCAGAGCUCAAAGAGAAUCUUUAAGGCUUUAUCUUGUUCAGAUCUACGAAGGAAUCCGUCUCUUUUCUUUUGGCACGAAGACACAGAAACAUGAAAACUCAACAUGGGCAUUAGAAUGGGGCAUAAAUAAUGACGAUGACGCCUCCAGGUUCUGUGGCGUUUCUCCAGGACGAGCCGAGCGAAGGGCAGGAGGAGACGCUGCUCCUCAGCGACAGCCAUCCAUCUCCGGCGGAGGAUGAGUUGAGCUGGAGGACACUGCGGGCCCAUUUCCCUCAUUACCCAAAAUCCUCGGCUGCUCUCGGAGGAACCGCGUCCAUUUUAAUAACUGGUUGUCAGACAAGUUUCCCGAGGCUUUAAUGCAUCCGCUGUAACGAAUGACAGCUGUGACCUUCUGACUGCUGCGAGCGCCGAGAAAAAGUGAGCAGCAAUUAGAGCAAAUUUACCUUGUCCACUUUUAUAAUGACGACACGAUUUAUUCUUAUGUUGCUAAUAUUUUCUACUGAAUAAAGUUAUAAUGAGGCUGCAGAGCAA